This 450-nucleotide ribosomal RNA is filed under the name uncultured bacterium. RNAcentral's name for it is "partial 16S ribosomal RNA". It matches the Rfam family "Bacterial small subunit ribosomal RNA", at positions 354 to 796 of the family's 1533-position model. The record is from RNAcentral.
GUGGGGAAUCUUCCGCAAUGGACGAAAGUCUGACGGAGCAACGCCGCGUGAGUGAAGAAGGUUUUCGGAUCGUAAAGCUCUUUCGUUAGGGACGAACGUGCUCUUUGUGAAUAAUGAGGAGUAAUGACGGUACCUAAAUAAGAAGCCACGGCUAACUACGUGCCAGCAGCCGCGGUAAUACGUAGGUGGCAAGCGUUGUCCGGAAUUAUUGGGCGUAAAGCGCGCGCAGGCGGGAUAUCAAGUCUGUCUUAAAAGUGCGAGGCUCAACCUCGUGAGGGGACAGAAACUGGUAUUCUUGAGUGUCGGAGAGGAAAGUGGAAUCCCAAGUGUAGCGGUGAAAUGCGUAGAGAUUUGGAAGAACACCAGUGGCGAAGGCGACUUUCUGGACGAUGUCUGACGCUGAGGCGCGAAAGCUAGGGGAGCGAACGGGAUUAGAAACCCGGGUAGUCC